GACGAACGCUGGCGGCGUGCUUAACACAUGCAAGUCGUACGGUAAGGCCCUUUCGGGGGUCCACGAGUGGCGAACGGGUGAGUAACACGUGAGUAACCUGCCCACAACUUUGGGAUAACGCUAGGAAACUGGUGCUAAUACUGGAUAUGUGCUCCUGCUGCAUGGUGGGGGUUGGAAAGCUCCGGCGGUUGUGGAUGGACUCGCGGCCUAUCAGCUUGUUGGUGGGGUAGUGGCCUACCAAGGCGGCGACGGGUAGCCGGCCUGAGAGGGUGACCGGCCACAUUGGGACUGAGAUACGGCCCAGACUCCUACGGGAGGCAGCAGUGGGGAAGAUUGCACAAUGGGCGCAAGCCUGAUGCAGCAACGCCGCGUGCGGGAGGACGGCCUUCGGGUUGUAAACCGCUUUCAGCAGGGACGAAGCUUUUUGUGACGGUACCUGCAGAAGAAGCACCGGCUAACUACGUG
Molecule: ribosomal RNA, 465 nt
Filed under: uncultured bacterium
Lineage: Bacteria
Description: partial 16S ribosomal RNA
Rfam family: Bacterial small subunit ribosomal RNA
Source: RNAcentral